GAUGAACGCUGACAGAAUGCUUAACACAUGCAAGUCGACUCGAGUCUCCGGACUUGGGUGGCGCACGGGUGAGUAACGCGUAAAGAACUUGCCUCUUAGACCGGGACAACAUCUAGAAAUGUCUGAUAAUACCGGAUAUUAUUGUUACAUGGCAUCAUGUAGGAAUGAAAGGAUAAGAUUGCUAGAGGAGAGCUUUGCAUCCUAUUAGCUAGUUGGUAAGGUAGCGGCUUACCAAGGCGAUGAUAGGUAGCCGGCCUGAGAGGGUGGACGGCCACAAGGGGACUGAGAUACGGCCCUU
This 298-nucleotide ribosomal RNA is filed under the name uncultured bacterium. Its description in RNAcentral is "partial 16S ribosomal RNA". It matches the Rfam family "Bacterial small subunit ribosomal RNA", at positions 28 to 334 of the family's 1533-position model. The record is from RNAcentral.